GAUGAACGCUGACAGAAUGCUUAACACAUGCAAGUCGACUUGAAGCAAUUUCGGUUGUGGAAAGUGGCGGACGGGUGAGUAACGCGUAAAGAACUUGCCCUUCAGUCUGGGACAACCAUUGGAAACGAUGGCUAAUACCGGAUAUUAUGGAACUCUCGCAUGGGAGGAUCAUGAAAGCUAUAUGCGCUGAAGGAGAGCUUUGCGUUCCAUUAGCUAGUUGGUGAGGUAACGGCUCACCAAGGCGACGAUGGAUAGCCGGCCUGAGAGGGUGAUCGGCCACAAGGGGACUGAGACACGGCCCUUACUCCUACGGGAGGCAGCAGUGGGGAAUAUUGGACAAUGGACCAAAAGUCUGAUCCAGCAAUUCUGUGUGCACGAUGAAGGUCUUCGGAUCGUAAAGUGCUUUCAGUUGGGAAGAAGAAAGUGACGGUACCAACAGAAGAAGCGACGGCUAAAUACGUGCCAGCAGCCGCGGUAAUACGUAUGUCGCAAGCGUUAUCCGGAUUUAUUGGGCGUAAAGCGCGUCUAGGCGGGUUCAUAAGUCUGAUGUUAAAAUGCGGGGCUCAACUCCGUAUUGCGUUGGAAACUGUGAACCUAGAGUAUCAGAGAGGUGGGCGGAACUACAAGUGUAGAGGUGAAAUUCGUAGAUAUUUGUAGGAAUGCCGAUGGAGAAGUCAGCUCACUGGAUGAAUACUGACGCUAAAGCGCGAAAGCGUGGGUAGCAAACAGG
This 730-nucleotide ribosomal RNA is filed under the name uncultured bacterium. RNAcentral's name for it is "bacterial SSU rRNA". It matches the Rfam family "Bacterial small subunit ribosomal RNA", at positions 28 to 776 of the family's 1533-position model. The record is from RNAcentral.